This 105-nucleotide small RNA is filed under the name Caulobacter vibrioides NA1000. RNAcentral's name for it is "small non-coding RNA". The record is from RNAcentral. Lineage: Bacteria; Pseudomonadati; Pseudomonadota; Alphaproteobacteria; Caulobacterales; Caulobacteraceae.
GCGGCCGCCGGGCCAACAGCCCUGGUCCCGUAGCGGCCGGGCGGCCGGCCGAAUGUUCGUCCAUCUCCUGUCCCUGGACGAGCAGCUUGGACCGGCCGCCGCACC